Molecule: long non-coding RNA, 1541 nt
Filed under: Phocoena sinus (vaquita)
Lineage: Eukaryota; Metazoa; Chordata; Mammalia; Artiodactyla; Phocoenidae
Description: lncRNA (ENSPSNG00000015045.1)
Source: RNAcentral
GUCUAGGGACAGGGUCCCGCCGGACUCCGGGCCCGAGCCUUGACGCCCGCGUGCUAGGGCCUGCGGCGCGAGAACGGCGGCCACCGUGACCCGGCCUCCGGACCUGAGCUCGGCCUCAGGGGCAGCAAAGGAGGCCAGAAAAUCAAUCGGCAGCCCGAGCAGAAGCAGCAGCGAUGGUGGCGGGAGCGGCAGCACGCGGGGGACUAACCGCAAAGCUUCCAGUGAAGACGGUGGUCACAAAGCACCAAGUUGAUCUCCCUGUGCUAUGCGGCUGCUUCCCACCAGCUAUCUAUCUUACGUUUGGUAGUGUAUGUAUGUCCAUGCCACCCUCUCACCUCGUCACAGCCCACCCUUCCCCUUCCCCAGAGGGAGACAUUUUUAAUGAAGACCAGGCAAGAUUAGGCAAGAGGAGACAGGACAGGUGUGAGUUAAAGAUUACUCAGAUGUUCCCGGCCUGGGAGACAGACCUGACCGUCACCACCCACAGCUGUGGCAGAGCUGGGCCUCAGCCUGGGCCUGGAGGGUUGCGGUGCACCUCCCCUUCCCCUGCUUCCUGGGGUCAGGGGCCUGACAUCCCAAAGGCAGAGCACAGCACAGACAGGGUCCACGGAUGCUUGGUUGCCAUAGGGCACUGUCCUGGGGAUGCCAAAAUUUUAAAGAAAACAAUAUCUUGCUGACUAAAUCUGUGCUUGACAUGGAGCUGAGGGGAAGAACAAAGUGAGACAUGAGAGUGAAGAAAAAUUUCUCAAAAGAUAGGAUUGCUGAGUCAAAAGCAGUAAGAUUGAAUUUUACAUAUAUUCUGCGUUCAGACAAGGGGGAAGUCAGAUGCACAGAAACAAACUGGUAAUUUUUCACACGAAAAAACAUCUAAGGGUUUUCAUCAAAUCCCAGGUUCAGUACGAGCCACAGGGCCGGUGAGGCAGCCAGAACAGCCACGGCCCUCGGGCUGCACCAGUAGACUCACAUUAACUGGAUCAGGACCCCUCUGCCCCAGCCCUGAGGUUAGACCAGCCCUGGGGUCUUCCUCAAACACGGGUGUGCGGUUUACCAGGAAUAUGGAAGCUCUGCAAUCCAGUCACAGGAGGAUGAGCAGGUACGGAGAGAUCUGGAAACCAUCUCUUCCCGGGAAUCACUGGAGGUGAUGGAUUUCUCCUGGAGAAAAGGAGACCUGGAUAGACAGACCUCUCCUGUUGGAGGAUGGUCGUGCCAAAGAGAGAAAAGACGAAGUGUUUCUCUAGAGAGCAGAGUGAAGAACAAUAAGUAUAAAUGGUGAGGCAGGAGACACAACAGAAGAAAGCAGUUCCUAACAGCUGGAGCAAUCCAGCCCACCAAAGCGGUGAGCUUCUUGUCCCUGGAAAUGUUCUAAUGGAAGCAGGGUGAUGUCAGGGAUAUCAUGGCCAUCACUGGCAAGAGACCAGCGUUUCCUAACCUCUCUUCCCCUUCCAAACAUCCCAUUGUUCACGAAUCCCAUGUUUUAUAAUAAUGUAUCUAUUUAAUAAAUUGUACUUAUUCAAAGUAAAAUUUAUUCCAUUUUAAUAGGC